CCCACAUUUCCUGUGUAAGCAUAAUUUUCCCUGCUUGAGUAGUGCUCUAUUUAAGUUCCCUGGUUUUUCUCCUCAGUUGCUGGAGCAGUUUUUCUGAGUUCUGGUUGUCCCGGUUCCCUAAUGUUCCUUGGUGUUUCCUGUUCCUCGAAUCUGUUUAACUGAGUCUAUUUCCCUGUGUUCUGUUGGCAAUAAAGAAGUUCCGCAUGUGCGUCCAUCUCCAUGGACUCUCCCUUAUGGCAGAAUGCUCCAACCACUCAUGGAUGCAGCAGAACUUCAGCUCUGUGAUGGGAGUGGGUUUUGGCUUUUCAGAGAGUGUAAUGUGGUCCAGACCUGGACAAACCGGUCCAAUCCAUGGAGACCACUGCUACUAACAGGAUCUGCUGCUAAUGUCUUGGUACCACAUACCACAGCACACCUUCAGAGGUGUUGUGGAUUCUAUGCCUUGAAUGGGUCAGAGUUGUUUUGGCAGCACAACGGGGACCUACACAAUAUUAUGCAGGUGGACCGCAGAAACAAAAUAAAUAGAUGGAGUGUUUAACGACGCAUUUACACAGAGGCACAUGAAAGGGACAUGAGGACAGUUUGGAAGGCAGAGCUCAGCAGUCUGUGUGCUCCCUCAGCAGCGGUGGAGGCCUGCUGAGACCCGACACUCAUUGCUCAUACUCAAACACCUUGGAUGUCAUCAGCCAUGCUGCCUAAAGGUCACACAGGGGGGAGCAGCCUCUAUUUCCAGUGUCUCCUGAUUGAUUCCCCAGGGGCAAGAGUAAGAAAAACUGAUUAGUGCUCUGAAAGACAGAGCACUUGUCUAUUGAAGCUUCUCAGAAUACUCUGAAUACUGUAUUUCCAAGUUUUGUAUAAUGGUGUUUGAAUGAUGGUUAAUAAAUCUGUACGUAUCUGAAUCAGUGGGUCCAGACGUACGAACCUGUCCUAUAAUUUCACUGCAGUUCCUGAAUCAUUUUUAGCAGCUCAAGUCAACAUGAAGAAUAAGCUGAAACUUUAAGAGCCUAAACUAUCACAACUAGACAGACCUCUAUCAUCUUGUUUGGCUUCACAGAAAAUCCUCACUGAUAUUCGACAAAGUCAUUCUGCAUUACCCAUGAACAUGUCCUCUGCUGAUAGCCAAGCCUCCCUAACACGUUUGCAGAUGGUACAGAAUGCUGCUGCUCGUGUGUUAACAGGAAAGCACAAGCGAGAACAUAUUACACCAAUAUUGGCCUCGCUUCACUGGCUUCCUGUUCAUUUUAGAAUUGAUUUGAACGUUUUAGUUUUAGUAUUUAAAUCGUUAAAUGGACUAGCAGCAAAUUAUCUGUCUGAUUUAAUAUAUCCACAUGCUCCAUGAAGAGCACUUAGGUCCGCUGAACAGUUACUUUUGGUCGUCCCUCGAGUAAGAGCAGAGGUGACUGUGCUUUUGCGGUUGGAGCCCCAUAACUUUGGAAUAAUCCUCCUCUACAUGUUUACUUUGGAAUAAUCCUCCUCUACAUGUUAGGCAGGCCCAGAAACUUUCUACUUUUAAAUCUAGACUUAAAAUUCAUUCUUACUCUUUGGUGUUUAACUCAAUAUGACAGCUGUUUUUUUUGUUGUUGUUGUUGUUGUUUGUUUGUUUGUUUGUUUGCUUGUUUUUUUACGAUUUAGUUCUUGUUUUAUGUUUUGUUGUACGUGUUUACUGUUUUAUUCUGAUUAUGUAUCGUACAGCACUUUGGUAAACACUUGCUGUUUUUAGAAGUGCUCUAUAAAUAAACUUUGACUUGACUUGACUUUUACUUGAUUUAUCAGUCCUGUCCUGAAGAGGGCAGUGUUUCCUCUUAUCUAAAGAACGUACAUAACUGGUUUCAUAAUGCCAUCACAUCCGAGGUCAGAUGACUUUGAGAGAAAUAUUAUCUGUUUGGAGCAGUGGUGUGAUGCAUUAGAGUGCCAUUAAAGGAAGGAAAUCAGGAAGUCAGUCUCCCUUCAUCACUUCCUCCAAACUCUGACAUGACCAUUUUCUUUCUAGAAUGUUUGUGCUCUACAUAUUCCUGUUCACACGGUGGCUCAAUAAUUGUUCACUUGAUGCUGCGGCAUCGAGAAUUUGUAGCACUUGACAUGGAUUUACUCCCUACUCUGUAAGAAUGCAUAAGUGGGUGUGGAUCGUUAG
Ictalurus punctatus (channel catfish) is the source of this 2131-nucleotide long non-coding RNA. RefSeq lists it as uncharacterized. NCBI's taxonomy places the organism in Eukaryota, Metazoa, Chordata, Actinopteri, Siluriformes, Ictaluridae. The record is from RefSeq and is a predicted model, not a curated record. The transcript has 5 exons.